RNAcentral lists this ribosomal RNA (253 nucleotides) under uncultured bacterium. RNAcentral describes it as "partial 16S ribosomal RNA". It matches the Rfam family "Bacterial small subunit ribosomal RNA", at positions 524 to 776 of the family's 1533-position model. The record is from RNAcentral.
UACGUAGGCAGCGAGCGUUGUUCGGAGUUACUGGGCGUAAAGGGUGUGUAGGCGGUUCUUUAAGUCAGUGGUGAAAUCUCCGAGCUCAACUUGGAAACUGCCAUUGAUACUAUUAGUCUUGAAUUCUGUUGAGGUUGGCGGAAUAAGUCAUGUAGCGGUGAAAUGCAUAGAUAUGACUUAGAACACCGAUUGCGAAGGCAGCUAACUAAGCAGAUAUUGACGCUGAGGCACGAAAGCGUGGGGAUCAAACAGG